This 586-nucleotide ribosomal RNA is filed under the name uncultured bacterium. RNAcentral's name for it is "partial 16S ribosomal RNA". It matches the Rfam family "Bacterial small subunit ribosomal RNA", at positions 355 to 1375 of the family's 1533-position model. The record is from RNAcentral.
UGGGGAAUUUUGGACAAUGGGCGAAAGCCUGAUCCAGCAAUGCCGCGUGUGUGAAGAAGGCCUUCGGGUUGUAAAGCACUUUUGUCCGGAAAGAAAUCCUUGGCUCUAAUACAGUCGGGGGAUGACGGUACCGGAAGAAUAAGCACCGGCUAACUACGUGCCAGCAGCCGCGGUAAUACGUAGGGUGCAAGCGUUAAUCGGAAUUACUGGGCGUAAAGCGUGCGCAGGCGGUUUGCUAAGACCGAUGUGAAAUCCCCGGGCUCAACCUGGGAACUGCAUUGGUGACUGGCAGGCUAGAGUAUGGCAGAGGGGGGUAGAAUUCCACGUGUAGCAGUGAAAUGCGUAGAGAUGUGGAGGAAUACCGAUGGCGAAGGCAGCCCCCUGGGCCAAUACUGGCGCUCAUGCACGAAAGCGUGGGGAGCAAAACAGGAUUAGAUACCCUGGUAGUCCACGCCCUAAACGAUGUCAACUAGUUGUUGGGGAUUCAUUUCCUUAGUAACGUAGCUAACGCGUGAAGUUGACCGCCUGGGGAGUACGGUCGCAAGAUUAAAACUCAAAUGAAUUGACGGGGUCAUAGCUGUUUCCU